GAUGAACGCUGGCGGCGUGCUUAACACAUGCCAGUCGAACGGAAAGGCCCUGCUUUUGUGGGGUGCUCGAGUGGCGAACGGGUGAGUAACACGUGAGUAACCUGCCCCUGACUUUGGGAUAACUUCAGGAAACUGGGGCUAAUACCGGAUAGGAGCUCCUGCUGCAUGGUGGGGGUUGGAAAGUUUCGGCGGUUGGGGAUGUACUCGCGGCUUAUGAGCUUGUUGGGGGGGUAGGGGCUUACCAAGGCUUUGAUGGGUAGCCCACCUGAGAGGGUGAUCGGCGACAUGGGAACGGAGACAGCCUCAAUGGGACUGCGGGACGGCCCAGUCGCCAACGGGAGGCAGCGGUGGGAAGUAUUACACAGUGGGGCGGAGCCUGAUACAACGGCGCCGCGUGCGGAAUGACGGCCUACGGGUUAUAAACCGCUUUCGCCUGUGACGAAGCGUGAGUGACGGUAAUGAGUAAAGAAGCACCGGCUAACUACGUG
Molecule: ribosomal RNA, 488 nt
Filed under: uncultured bacterium
Lineage: Bacteria
Description: partial 16S ribosomal RNA
Rfam family: Bacterial small subunit ribosomal RNA
Source: RNAcentral